Small nucleolar RNA from Ursus americanus (American black bear), 60 nucleotides. The record is from Ensembl. NCBI's taxonomy places the organism in Eukaryota, Metazoa, Chordata, Mammalia, Carnivora, Ursidae.
UUAUGCUAAAUAUGAUGAGUAUACAAAAUCUUGAUUAAAAAAUGAAAACAUUAUGCUAAG